GCAGAAUUCAGUGAAUCAUCGAAUCUUUGAACGCACCUUGCGCCCCUUGGUAUUCCGAGGGGCACACCCGUUUGAGCGUCGUGAAAAUCUCAACCUCCUUUGUUUCUUCCGGGGACCAAAGGAGGCUUGGACUUUGGAGGUUUUUGCUGGCGUCUUUGGAAGGCCAGCUCCUCUUAAAUGAAUUAGCGGGGUCCUCUUUGCCGAUCCUUGACAUGUGAUAAGAUGCUUCCGUGUCUCGGUUUCUGGCUCUGUUGCCUUUGGGACCCGCUUCUAACCGUCUUGACCUUGCGUCGAGACAAUGUUCGAGCUUGUCUCCCUUCUCGGGAAACCCUCUCGACCCCACGAACCCUUGGCCUCAAAUCGGGUGAGACUACCCGCUGAACUUAAGCAUAUCAAUAAGCGGAGGAAAAGAAACUAACCAGGAUUCCCCUAGUAACUGCGAGUGAAGCCGGAAAAGCUCAAAUUUAAAAUCUGGCGUCCUUCGGCCGUCCGAGUGUAAUUCAGA
Molecule: ribosomal RNA, 505 nt
Filed under: Lactarius sp. 'subemboratus'
Lineage: Eukaryota; Fungi; Basidiomycota; Agaricomycetes; Russulales; Russulaceae
Description: eukaryotic LSU rRNA
Rfam family: Eukaryotic large subunit ribosomal RNA (bases 351-505)
Source: RNAcentral